Molecule: ribosomal RNA, 254 nt
Filed under: uncultured bacterium
Lineage: Bacteria
Description: partial 16S ribosomal RNA
Rfam family: Bacterial small subunit ribosomal RNA
Source: RNAcentral
UACGGGAGGAGCAAGCGUUGUUCGGAUUUACUGGGCGUAAAGGGCGCGUAGGCGGCCACUGCAAGUCGGUUGUGAAAUCUCCGGGCUUAACCCGGAAAGGUCAAUCGAUACUGCAGGGCUAGAGUGCAGAAGGGGCAACUGGAAUUCUCGGUGUAGCGGUGAAAUGCGUAGAUAUCGAGAGGAACACCUGCGGCGAAGGCGGGUUGCUGGGCUGACACUGACGCUGAAGCGCGAAAGCUAGGGGAGCGAACGGG